AGUGAACGCUGGCGGUAGGCCUAACACAUGCAAGUCGAACGGCAGCACAGUAAGAGCUUGCUCUUACGGGUGGCGAGUGGCGGACGGGUGAGGAAUACAUAGGAAUCUACUUUUUCGUGGGGGAUAACGUAGGGAAACUUACGCUAAUACAGCAUACGACCUACGGGUGAAAGCAGGGGAUCUUCGGACCUUGCGCGACUGAAUGAGCCGAUGUCGGAUUAGCUAGUUGGCGGGGUAAAGGCCCACCAAGGCGACGAUCCGUAGCUGGUCUGAGAGGAUGAUCAGCCACACUGGAACUGAGACACGGUCCAGACUCCUACGGGAGGCAGCAGUGGGGAAUAUUGGACAAUGGGCGCAAGCCUGAUCCAGCCAUACCGCGUGGGUGAAGAAGGCCUUCGGGUUGUAAAGCCCUUUUGUUGGGAAAGAAAAGCAGCAGGUUAAUACCCCGCUGUUCUGACGGUACCCAAAGAAUAAGCACCGGCUAACUUCGUG
Molecule: ribosomal RNA, 492 nt
Filed under: uncultured bacterium
Lineage: Bacteria
Description: partial 16S ribosomal RNA
Rfam family: Bacterial small subunit ribosomal RNA
Source: RNAcentral